Molecule: ribosomal RNA, 592 nt
Filed under: uncultured bacterium
Lineage: Bacteria
Description: bacterial SSU rRNA
Rfam family: Bacterial small subunit ribosomal RNA
Source: RNAcentral
UGAACGCUGGCGGCGUGCCUAAACAUGCAAGUCGAGCGGUAACAGGUGUAGCAACACAUGCUGACGAGCGGCGAACGGGUGAGUAAUGCUUCGGAAUCUGCCCAAUGGUGGGGAAUAACCAGCCGAAAGGUUGGCUAAUACCGCAUAAGUCCUACGGGGGAAAGCAGGGGAUCGCAAGACCUUGCGCCGAUGGAUGAGCCGAAGCCGGAUUAGCUAGUUGGUAGGGUAACGGCCUACCAAGGCGACGAUCCGUAGCUGGUCUGAGAGGACGACCAGCCACACUGGGACUGAGACACGGCCCAGACUCCUACGGGAGGCAGCAGUGGGGAAUAUUGGACAAUGGGGGAAACCCUGAUCCAGCGACGCCGCGUGUGUGAAGAAGGCCUGCGGGUUGUAAAGCACUUUUAGUGGGGAUGAAAAGCUCAGGGCUAAUACCUCUGGGUCUUGACCUAACCCAAAGAAGAAGCACCGGCUAACUCUGUGCCAGCAGCCGCGGUAAUACAGAGGGUGCGAGCGUUAAUCGGAAUUACUGGGCGUAAAGCGUGCGUAGACGGUUAUGUAAGUCGGGUGUGAAAGCCCCGGGCUCAACCUG